This 282-nucleotide ribosomal RNA is filed under the name Sellaphora capitata. Its description in RNAcentral is "partial 26S ribosomal RNA". It matches the Rfam family "Eukaryotic large subunit ribosomal RNA", at positions 1 to 290 of the family's 3401-position model. Lineage: Eukaryota; Bacillariophyta; Bacillariophyceae; Sellaphorales; Sellaphoraceae. The record is from RNAcentral.
UCUGAUCUCAGAUCAAGCAAGAAGACCCGCCGAAUUUAAGCAUAUAAUUAAGCGGAGGAAAAGAAACUAACCAGGAUUCCCCUAGUAAGGGCGACUGAAGCGGGAAUAGCUCACGAUGUGAAUCAGCGCUGCUUUGUGGCGCUGAAUUGUGGUCUGAAAACGCUUGCAUUACUGGCGGGGCCAAGUCCCUUGGAACAGGGCAGCCGAGAGGGCGAGACUCCCGUGUGCCCUGCCUUUGGAGCGAGCGUUUGACGAGUCGAGUUGUUUGGGAUUGCAGCUCUA